Molecule: long non-coding RNA, 202 nt
Filed under: Capsicum annuum
Lineage: Eukaryota; Viridiplantae; Streptophyta; Magnoliopsida; Solanales; Solanaceae
Description: long non-coding RNA (CANN_LNC021028)
Source: RNAcentral
CAAUAGAGGUUACAGGUUAGACCACGAUUAGCUUAAAUUAGGGAAUUUAAUUAGAUGAUACCUCCCACAGUCUCAGAUAUAGUCGCAGUUACAGUCCCAGCCCAGUUUUCAGUCUUAGUGUUGUUUGACCAAACCAUACGGAUUUCAUUUAUCUCAGUAUAUCAGUUUACAAAUUUUACUUAGUUCGUGUUUUAUGCUUGGU